This 251-nucleotide long non-coding RNA is filed under the name Nicotiana benthamiana. RNAcentral describes it as "long non-coding RNA (NBEN_LNC011174)". The record is from RNAcentral. Lineage: Eukaryota; Viridiplantae; Streptophyta; Magnoliopsida; Solanales; Solanaceae.
UCAAGCAAGUGAAGUCUUAAGGUGCGGUAUCCUUGAGCAACUGUAACGGUUUGUUAAGCACCCGUAUGCUUGACGAAGAUAGUGGAAUCUCGAGAGAGUCUCUCGGGGACUGGACUAGCCACGGGUUAUGGUGAACCAGGAGAAAAUACGGUGUGUUCUUUCUUGAUUAUUUCAAUUACCGUAUUUACUUAUUCCUGCAAUUUUAAAUUCCGCAAUAUUUCAAUAUUCUCGUGCCUCACUAUUCACCCCCC